RNAcentral lists this ribosomal RNA (543 nucleotides) under uncultured Glomeromycotina. RNAcentral's name for it is "SSU rRNA". It matches the Rfam family "Eukaryotic small subunit ribosomal RNA", at positions 555 to 1098 of the family's 1831-position model. The record is from RNAcentral. Lineage: Eukaryota; Fungi; Glomeromycota.
GCAAGUCUGGUGCCAGCAGCCGCGGUAAUUCCAGCUCCAAUAGCGUAUAUUAAAGUUGUUGCAGUUAGAAAGCUCGUAGUUGAAUUUCGGGAUCAAUAUUUCGGUCAUGCCGUUGGUAUGCACUGUUAUCAUUGAUUUCUCACCUUCUAAAGAACCAUAAUGCCAUUAAUUUGGUGUUACGGGGAAUUAGGACUGUUACCUUGAAAAAAUUAGAGUGUUUAAAGCAGGCUCACGCUUGAAUACAUUAGCAUGGAAUAAUGAAAUAGGACAUCCGAUUCUAUUUUGUUGGUUUCUAGGAUCGAUGUAAUGAUUAAUAGGGAUAGUUGGGGGCAUUAGUAUUCAAUUGUCAGAGGUGAAAUUCUUGGAUUUAUUGAAGACUAACUACUGCGAAAGCAUUUGCCAAGGAUGUUUUCAUUAAUCAAGAACGAAAGUUAGGGGAUCGAAGACGAUCAGAUACCGUCGUAGUCUUAACCAUAAACUAUGCCGACUAGGGAUCGGAUGAUGUUAAUUUUUUAAUGACUCAUUCGGCGCCUUACGGGAAAC